CCUACGGGAGGCAGCAGUAGGGAAUCUUCCGUAAUGGACGAAAGUCUGACGGAGCAACGCCGCGUGAGCGAAGAAGGUCUUCGGAUUGUAAAGCUCUGUUGUUAGGGAAGAACAAGUACCGUUCGAAGAGGGCGGUACCGUGACGGUACCUAACGAGAAAGCCACGGCUAACCUAUGUGCCAGCAGCCGCGGUAAU
RNAcentral lists this ribosomal RNA (196 nucleotides) under uncultured bacterium. Its description in RNAcentral is "partial 16S ribosomal RNA". It matches the Rfam family "Bacterial small subunit ribosomal RNA", at positions 338 to 524 of the family's 1533-position model. The record is from RNAcentral.